This 657-nucleotide ribosomal RNA is filed under the name Salmonella enterica subsp. enterica. RNAcentral's name for it is "partial 23S ribosomal RNA". It matches the Rfam family "Bacterial large subunit ribosomal RNA", at positions 2202 to 2853 of the family's 2925-position model. Lineage: Bacteria; Pseudomonadati; Pseudomonadota; Gammaproteobacteria; Enterobacterales; Enterobacteriaceae. The record is from RNAcentral.
ACCCUUUAAUGUUUGAUGUUCUAACGUGGACCCGUGAUCCGGGUUGCGGACAGUGUCUGGUGGGUAGUUUGACUGGGGCGGUCUCCUCCUAAAGAGUAACGGAGGAGCACGAAGGUUGGCUAAUCCUGGUCGGACAUCAGGAGGUUAGUGCAAUGGCAUAAGCCAGCUUGACUGCGAGCGUGACGGCGCGAGCAGGUGCGAAAGCAGGUCAUAGUGAUCCGGUGGUUCUGAAUGGAAGGGCCAUCGCUCAACGGAUAAAAGGUACUCCGGGGAUAACAGGCUGAUACCGCCCAAGAGUUCAUAUCGACGGCGGUGUUUGGCACCUCGAUGUCGGCUCAUCACAUCCUGGGGCUGAAGUAGGUCCCAAGGGUAUGGCUGUUCGCCAUUUAAAGUGGUACGCGAGCUGGGUUUAGAACGUCGUGAGACAGUUCGGUCCCUAUCUGCCGUGGGCGCUGGAGAACUGAGGGGGGCUGCUCCUAGUACGAGAGGACCGGAGUGGACGCAUCACUGGUGUUCGGGUUGUCAUGCCAAUGGCACUGCCCGGUAGCUAAAUGCGGAAGAGAUAAGUGCUGAAAGCAUCUAAGCACGAAACUUGCCCCGAGAUGAGUUCUCCCUGAGACUUUAGGUCUCCUGAAGGAACGUUGAAGACGACGACGU